CAGCCGCCGCGGUAAUACGGAGGGGGCUAGCGUUGUUCGGAAUUACUGGGCGUAAAGCGCACGUAGGCGGCUUCGUAAGUUAGAGGUGAAAGCCCGGAGCUCAACUCCGGAAUUGCCUUUAAGACUGCAGAGCUAGCAGGUGAGAGAGGUGAGUGGAAUUCCGAGUGUAGAGGUGAAGUUCGUAGAUAUUGGGAAGAACACCAGUGGCGAAGGCGGCUCACUGGACCGACACUGACGCUGAGGCGCGAAAGCGUGGGGAGCAAACAGGAUUAGAUACCCCCGUAGUCCCUGUCUCUUAUAA
This 301-nucleotide ribosomal RNA is filed under the name uncultured bacterium. RNAcentral's name for it is "partial 16S ribosomal RNA". It matches the Rfam family "Bacterial small subunit ribosomal RNA", at positions 509 to 809 of the family's 1533-position model. The record is from RNAcentral.